This 1482-nucleotide ribosomal RNA is filed under the name Lactiplantibacillus plantarum. RNAcentral's name for it is "bacterial SSU rRNA". It matches the Rfam family "Bacterial small subunit ribosomal RNA". The record is from RNAcentral. Lineage: Bacteria; Bacillati; Bacillota; Bacilli; Lactobacillales; Lactobacillaceae.
CGCUGGCGGCGUGCCUAAUACAUGCAAGUCGAACGAACUCUGGUAUUGAUUGGUGCUUGCAUCAUGAUUUACAUUUGAGUGAGUGGCGAACUGGUGAGUAACACGUGGGAAACCUGCCCAGAAGCGGGGGAUAACACCUGGAAACAGAUGCUAAUACCGCAUAACAACUUGGACCGCAUGGUCCGAGCUUGAAAGAUGGCUUCGGCUAUCACUUUUGGAUGGUCCCGCGGCGUAUUAGCUAGAUGGUGGGGUAACGGCUCACCAUGGCAAUGAUACGUAGCCGACCUGAGAGGGUAAUCGGCCACAUUGGGACUGAGACACGGCCCAAACUCCUACGGGAGGCAGCAGUAGGGAAUCUUCCACAAUGGACGAAAGUCUGAUGGAGCAACGCCGCGUGAGUGAAGAAGGGUUUCGGCUCGUAAAACUCUGUUGUUAAAGAAGAACAUAUCUGAGAGUAACUGUUCAGGUAUUGACGGUAUUUAACCAGAAAGCCACGGCUAACUACGUGCCAGCAGCCGCGGUAAUACGUAGGUGGCAAGCGUUGUCCGGAUUUAUUGGGCGUAAAGCGAGCGCAGGCGGUUUUUUAAGUCUGAUGUGAAAGCCUUCGGCUCAACCGAAGAAGUGCAUCGGAAACUGGGAAACUUGAGUGCAGAAGAGGACAGUGGAACUCCAUGUGUAGCGGUGAAAUGCGUAGAUAUAUGGAAGAACACCAGUGGCGAAGGCGGCUGUCUGGUCUGUAACUGACGCUGAGGCUCGAAAGUAUGGGUAGCAAACAGGAUUAGAUACCCUGGUAGUCCAUACCGUAAACGAUGAAUGCUAAGUGUUGGAGGGUUUCCGCCCUUCAGUGCUGCAGCUAACGCAUUAAGCAUUCCGCCUGGGGAGUACGGCCGCAAGGCUGAAACUCAAAGGAAUUGACGGGGGCCCGCACAAGCGGUGGAGCAUGUGGUUUAAUUCGAAGCUACGCGAAGAACCUUACCAGGUCUUGACAUACUAUGCAAAUCUAAGAGAUUAGACGUUCCCUUCGGGGACAUGGAUACAGGUGGUGCAUGGUUGUCGUCAGCUCGUGUCGUGAGAUGUUGGGUUAAGUCCCGCAACGAGCGCAACCCUUAUUAUCAGUUGCCAGCAUUAAGUUGGGCACUCUGGUGAGACUGCCGGUGACAAACCGGAGGAAGGUGGGGAUGACGUCAAAUCAUCAUGCCCCUUAUGACCUGGGCUACACACGUGCUACAAUGGAUGGUACAACGAGUUGCGAACUCGCGAGAGUAAGCUAAUCUCUUAAAGCCAUUCUCAGUUCGGAUUGUAGGCUGCAACUCGCCUACAUGAAGUCGGAAUCGCUAGUAAUCGCGGAUCAGCAUGCCGCGGUGAAUACGUUCCCGGGCCUUGUACACACCGCCCGUCACACCAUGAGAGUUUGUAACACCCAAAGUCGGUGGGGUAACCUUUUAGGAACCAGCCGCCUAAGGUGGGACAGAUGAUUAGGGU